RNAcentral lists this ribosomal RNA (484 nucleotides) under uncultured bacterium. Its description in RNAcentral is "partial 16S ribosomal RNA". It matches the Rfam family "Bacterial small subunit ribosomal RNA", at positions 30 to 507 of the family's 1533-position model. The record is from RNAcentral.
AUUGAACGCUGGCGGCAUGCCUUACACAUGCGAGUCGAACGGCAGCGCGGGAGCAAUCCUGGCGGCGAGUGGCGAACGGGUGAGUAAUACAUCGGAACGUGCCCAAUCGUGGGGGAUAACGCAGCGAAAGCUGUGCUAAUACCGCAUACGAUCUACGGAUGAAAGCAGGGGAUCGCAAGACCUUGCGCGAAUGGAGCGGCCGAUGGCAGAUUAGGUAGUUGGUGAGGUAAAGGCUCACCAAGCCUUCGAUCUGUAGCUGGUCUGAGAGGACGACCAGCCACACUGGGACUGAGACACGGCCCAGACUCCUACGGGAGGCAGCAGUGGGGAAUUUUGGACAAUGGGCGAAAGCCUGAUCCAGCCAUGCCGCGUGCAGGAUGAAGGCCUUCGGGUUGUAAACUGCUUUUGUACGGAACGAAACGGUCUUUUCUAAUAAAGAAGGCUAAUGACGGUACCGUAAGAAUAAGCACCGGCUAACUACGUG